CGAGGGCAGGAGAUACGGGCAUGCCUACUCACACACCCACGUAUCCAGCGGUAAGCCAAGCAGGCAAGACACGACUCGGCGGUAGUAUACAUCUUGUUUUUCCUCUUUCUGGGCAUCUGUGCCUGACAACUUGCCAAUGGCACUUGCACACAUUCUUCGCUGCCAGCGCUUUUUUUGGCUCGGCCUUCGCGACCGUAUGCGGGUGAGCAAGAUGAUAAGCGGCACCUUGCCCAUCCCCGCCAGCGAUGCGAUGAUGUCGGUGGUGCCGGUCAAGGCUAUUCGGGCGGUCGCGGCGGCACCUCCGCAGACGCCGCGGCCGCCACUGCCAUGGCUUGUGUUGCCGUGGCGUCGCCAGCUGCCACCCGACCCUGCGUUCAGUCAGUUUGUCGCCCAGCCCAUGGUCGUUCCUAUGUACUGCGGCCUGCGCUUGAUUGACGAGUUCGGCCACGUCAACAACGCCAAGUACCUUGAACUGUGCGAGUUGGCUCGGUGGCGUCAGCUGUCUUUCCUCGGCAUCGGCACCAUGAUGGCCCGGCUUCGCGUGGCGUUCGUGGUCUCCGACCUCUCCGUAACUUAUCAGCGGGAAAUCCGACCGUGGAGCAGGGUGUGGUUGUCGACGCGAAUUCUUCUCCCGCCGUCCAGCACCGCCUUUGCUGGCCCGCUGUCUUCGCCAUUGCCAGGGGCAGCGCCAUCAUCAGACAAGAGGCGCUUGUACAUUGAGCAUGAGAUCUGGAGCAAGGAUGGGCGUAAGCUGCACGCUGCAAUAACUCUCGCGGCGGCCCUCAUCGGCCCUGUGAAGUACGAGCAGGAGCUGGCUCGGCGCUACGACCCGACUGCUGCUGCCGCCGCAGCGGCGCCGCCUCACGCGCCUGCAGGCACCCGUGCCCGUCAGCGUACGACGUUGAACUGCGAGCACGUCCUGGCUGACGCCUUGGAUCUUUCUUCCGUGGCGGAGCUGCGCAAGCUGUUCGAAUCCGCUGAGCAUAUCUGCACCCCCGCUGUGGGCGACGGCGACGCCGCGGCCGCGGCGAAAUCGGAUGAGAUGCCUGACCAGGAAAGCGCAGCGCGGCAGGAGCGCAUCACGGGUCUCGCCCGCAUCUGGCGCACAACACGCAAUCAACUGCGUCAUACGUCGUUCAUCUCGUCUCCGCCACCGCCGUAGUCUUCUAACACACUCAACUCCAAGACGGGCCCCAAACUGUGAUGAGUGUGCCUUUGAAUGGGGUACAGGCGAAGGCGUCACGCGAGGGAGGGGCCCCAUGUGUGUGUGUGUGUGUACGCUCGGUCAUCUGCCGUCUCUUUGCCCUUCCACCCUGCGUCGCCUCGAGCUCACAGACGAACACGGCCGCUGCGUUUGCUGUUUCUUUUCGCUUCCACACGCAAUUGCUUGACAGAGCUGCAGACAAGAACAGAAACGAUGCUGAGGGCGAAGUGCCCCCCCUCCCCUUCCCUUCCUUUCCUCUCCCCCGUAAGAAAAGGAAGAGAGCGGCAGAAGCGUCAGUCGCAUCACAAGCGGGCCGCGAGGAUGGGGUGACCGAUGGCGGUGGAUGCGAGGUCGACGACGGAUGUGUCUGUGAUGUGUGGUGACUGCCCUACCUCCCACCCAUUACGGUUUUUUUUUUCCUUAUUGGUGGGGUGGGGGCCUG
This 1646-nucleotide unclassified non-coding RNA is filed under the name Leishmania donovani. Its description in RNAcentral is "gene:LdHU3.26.2540(CDS-product:Thioesterase-like_ superfamily/Thioesterase_superfamily_putative)". The record is from RNAcentral. Lineage: Eukaryota; Euglenozoa; Kinetoplastea; Trypanosomatida; Trypanosomatidae.